AGUGAACGCUGGCGGUAGGCCUAACACAUGCAAGUCGAACGGCAGCACAGUAAGAGCUUGCUCUUACGGGUGGCGAGUGGCGGACGGGUGAGGAAUACAUCGGAAUCUACUUUUUCGUGGGGGAUAACGUAGGGAAACUUACGCUAAUACCGCAUACGACCUACGGGUGAAAGCAGGGGAUCUUCGGACCUUGCGCGAUUGAAUGAGCCGAUGUCGGAUUAGCUAGUUGGCGGGGUAAAGGCCCACCAAGGCGACGAUCCGUAGCUGGUCUGAGAGGAUGAUCAGCCACACUGGAACUGAGACACGGUCCAGACUCCUACGGGAGGCAGCAGUGGGGAAUAUUGGACAAUGGGGGAAAGCCUGAUCCAGCCAUACCGUGUGGGUGAAGAAGGCCUUCGGGUUGUAAAGCCCUUUUUUUGGGAAAGAAAAGCAGCAGGUUAAUACCCCGCUGUUCUGACGGUACCCAAAGAAUAAGCACCGGCUAACUUCGU
This 491-nucleotide ribosomal RNA is filed under the name uncultured bacterium. RNAcentral describes it as "partial 16S ribosomal RNA". It matches the Rfam family "Bacterial small subunit ribosomal RNA", at positions 29 to 506 of the family's 1533-position model. The record is from RNAcentral.